Molecule: non-coding RNA, 72 nt
Organism: Pangasius djambal
Lineage: Eukaryota; Metazoa; Chordata; Actinopteri; Siluriformes; Pangasiidae
Source: the annotation of a GenBank genome assembly
GCCUGGUUAGCUCAGUCGGUAGUGCAAUGAGACUUAAUUUCAGGGUCAUGGGUUUGAGUCCCACAUCAGGUG